This 253-nucleotide ribosomal RNA is filed under the name uncultured bacterium. RNAcentral's name for it is "partial 16S ribosomal RNA". It matches the Rfam family "Bacterial small subunit ribosomal RNA", at positions 524 to 776 of the family's 1533-position model. The record is from RNAcentral.
UACGGGGGGGGCAAGCGUUGUUCGGAAUUACUGGGCGUAAAGGGCUCGUAGGCGGCCCUCUCAGUCGGAUGUGAAAUCCCCAGGCUUAACCUGGGAAUGGCACCCGAUACUGGAGGUCUUGAAUUCGGGAGAGGGAUGCAGAAUUCCAGGUGUAGCGGUGAAAUGCGUAGAUAUCUGGAGGAAUACCGGUGGCGAAGGCGGCAUCCUGGACCGAGAUUGACACUGAUGAGCGAAAGCCAGGGGAGCAAACGGG